AGAAGGCGCCGGGGCAAGCGGCCUGUUGGCGCCCAGUUUCAGCUGGCUGUUCCCGCUAGCAUCAGGGCUCGAUCGUAGAGGACGCGGCAGCCGCAGCUCGCGGAGAACAGCGGGCAGAGCUGUGGGCUGCACGCGCCCCUGCAGCCACCGGGCGUCCCGCAGAGGCUCCCGCGCCCUGCGGCGACUUCCGCCCCCGCGCUCCCCUUUGUCCGAGUCCCCAAGCGGCGGCGGCGGGGUAGGAGCCCACGCCGUGGGCGACUGAGGCGGCGGCAGUCCGCGUCCCGGCGCCCUGGAGAUGCCGGACCAGAUCUCCGUGUCGGAAUUCGUGGCCGAGACCCUUGAGGACUACAAGGCGCCCACGGCCUCUAGCUUCACCACGGGCACGGCCCAGUGCCGGAACACCAUGGCGGCCAUCGAGGAGGUGAAUUAUACCCUUUUGGGGUUCAGACCUCGCUCAACUGGAGACCUGCCUGUCUGUGCAAAGCCCAGUGCCCCACAUGAAUGGCUACACUUGGGAAAACCAUCAUAUUGAAGGACAUUGUCAAAGUUCAAGAAGAAAUGAAAGGUUUAGUCUCCACUGCCAGCUGCCAUGGGCAAGCAGAACAGCAAACUGGGUCCUGAGGUGCUGCAGGACCUGCGGAAAACAGGGAGUUCACCCACCAUGAGCUUCAGGAGUGGUACAAGGGCUUCCUCAAUGACUGUCCCACUGGCCACCUGACUGUGGACAAUUUCAAGAUCUAGGCCAACUUCUUCCCCUACAGAGAUUCCUCCAAGUUUGCUGAACAUGUCUUCCACACCUUUGACACCAACAGCGACAGCACCAUCGACUUUCAAGAGUUCAUCAUUGCUCUGAUCAUGACCUCUCGGGGCAAGCUGGAACAGAAGCUCAAGUGGGCCUUCAGAAUGUCUGAACUAGACAGCAAUAGCUACUUCAGCUGCAGUGAAAUGCUGGAGAUAGUGCAGGCAAAAUGUCCCUGGAAGAAUUCAACAAAGGUGCCAAGAGUGACCCAUCCAUUGUCUGGUUGCUGCAGUGUGAUCCCAGCAGUGCUAGCCAGUUCUCAGGGGAAUGGGCUUUUACACAGUUGUGAGAAGCACAGUCUUGACCUGCCAUCUUCAGCUUUGCUUGCAAAAGUGGAUUUCUCCGUGAUUUCUCCUGCUCUCUCGGGACCUGGGUCCAGACAGCACAUCACACUCACCUGGUCUAGCUGGAUUCAGCUCCCUCCUCUAUCUGACCCAAUAGAUGUCCGUCCCCAUCCAGUCCAGGCUGGUUCCUUCCAAGGUUUCAAGUGUUCUCAGCUGUAGGGCUCCUUCCCUCCCCACGGAGGGCCUGGAGGCCCUUAAGGACACCAGACAGGACUUUUCAGUAUCUUACCGAGACCAGCUGAUUUAUUCUAUGAUCCCAGCUGACUUUGUGAGCAUGAAGAAGAUGGAGAGUAGAUAGGCAAGCCCUUCCUGUUCAUGGCUCCACCUCCCUUGUUCAUUUUCUCCAACCACAGCUGCUUGCAUGUAUAUACCGUGGUAUCCUUACUUUUAAUAUAUAAGUUUUGUAUAAAGUGAGAAGUUUCAGCCCCUGUAUUUAAAGCCUCUGACUGCCUUUAAAGCAUGGUCCCCUGUGGCUUGUGAUUCUCCCCACCCCCAAAUCUAGCUGUGCUGUGGUAUUUAAGUAUUCAUUUGCCUAAUUAUACAGGAUAUACAUGCAUGCCCAAGGCUGUGGACAUCUGCCCUCCGUCCUGCAAAUACAGGUUUUCUUGGGUGCUCCAUCCUUCCUUUCCAUUGACCUGGAAUAUUAAAAUGGUCAAAUAAACCAA
Molecule: long non-coding RNA, 1808 nt
Filed under: Mus musculus (house mouse)
Lineage: Eukaryota; Metazoa; Chordata; Mammalia; Rodentia; Muridae
Description: RIKEN cDNA 3110053B16 gene, transcript variant 4 (3110053B16Rik)
Source: RNAcentral